CCUGUCUCAGUUCGGAUUGGAGGCUGAAACCCGCCUCCAUGAAGCUGGAUUCGCUAGUAAUCGCGCAUCAGCCAUGGCGCGGUGAAUACGUUCCCGGGCCUUGUACACACCGCCCGUCAAGCCAUGGGAGCCGGGGUGCCUGAAGUUCGUGACCGCAAGGAGCGACCUAGGGCAAAACUGGUGACUGGGGCUAAGUCGUAACAAGGUACC
RNAcentral lists this ribosomal RNA (210 nucleotides) under uncultured bacterium. RNAcentral's name for it is "partial 16S ribosomal RNA". It matches the Rfam family "Bacterial small subunit ribosomal RNA", at positions 1282 to 1500 of the family's 1533-position model. The record is from RNAcentral.